RNAcentral lists this transfer RNA (82 nucleotides) under Gemmatimonadota bacterium. Its description in RNAcentral is "tRNA-Leu". It matches the Rfam family "tRNA". Rfam says of the family: Transfer RNA (tRNA) molecules are approximately 80 nucleotides in length. The record is from RNAcentral. Lineage: Bacteria; Pseudomonadati; Gemmatimonadota.
GCGAGGGUGGCGGAACUGGUAGACGCGUCGGGUUUAGGACCCGGUGAGGCAACUCGUGGGGGUUCGAGUCCCCCCUCUCGCA